CGAACGGGUGAAGUAAUAUAUCGGAACGUACCUUCAGUGGGGGAUAACGUAGCGAAAGUUACGCUAAUACCGCAUAUUCUGUGAGCAGGAAAGCAGGGGAUCGCAAGACCUUGCGCUGAUUGAGCGGCCGAUAUCAGAUUAGCUAGUUGGUGAGGUAAAGGCUCACCAAGGCGACGAUCUGUAGCGGGUCUGAGAGGAUGAUCCGCCACACUGGAACUGAGACACGGUCCAGACUCCUACGGGAGGCAGCAGUGGGGGAAUUUUGGACAAUGGGGCGCAAGCCUGAUCCAGCCAUGCCGCGUGAGUGAAGAAGGCCUUCGGGUUGUAAAGCUCUUCGGCCGGGAAGAAAUCGCACAGGUUAAUACCCUGUGUGGAUGACGGUACCGGAAUAAGAAGCACCGGCUAACUACGUG
This 413-nucleotide ribosomal RNA is filed under the name uncultured bacterium. RNAcentral describes it as "bacterial SSU rRNA". It matches the Rfam family "Bacterial small subunit ribosomal RNA", at positions 99 to 507 of the family's 1533-position model. The record is from RNAcentral.